This 496-nucleotide ribosomal RNA is filed under the name uncultured bacterium. RNAcentral's name for it is "partial 16S ribosomal RNA". It matches the Rfam family "Bacterial small subunit ribosomal RNA", at positions 29 to 507 of the family's 1533-position model. The record is from RNAcentral.
AUGAACGCUGGCGGCGUGCCUAAUACAUGCAAGUCGCGCGAACAGACGAGGAGCUUGCUCCUCUGACGUUAGCGGCGGACGGGUGAGUAACACGUGGAUAACCUACCUAUAAGACUGGGAUAACUUCGGGAAACCGGAGCUAAUACCGGAUAAUAUAUUGAACCGCAUGGUUCAAUAGUGAAAGACGGUUUUGCUGUCACUUAUAGAUGGAUCCGCGCCGCAUUAGCUAGUUGGUAAGGUAACGGCUUACCAAGGCAACGAUGCGUAGCCGACCUGAGAGGGUGAUCGGCCACACUGGAACUGAGACACGGUCCAGACUCCUACGGGAGGCAGCAGUAGGGAAUCUUCCGCAAUGGGCGAAAGCUUGACGGAGCAACGCCGCGUGAGUGAUGAAGGUCUUCGGAUCGUAAAACUCUGUUAUUAGGGAAGAACAAAUGUGUAAGUAACUAUGCACGUCUUGACGGUACCUAAUCAGAAAGCCACGGCUAUCUACGUG